RNAcentral lists this ribosomal RNA (301 nucleotides) under Staphylococcus aureus. RNAcentral's name for it is "partial 16S ribosomal RNA". It matches the Rfam family "Bacterial small subunit ribosomal RNA", at positions 1 to 290 of the family's 1533-position model. The record is from RNAcentral. Lineage: Bacteria; Bacillati; Bacillota; Bacilli; Caryophanales; Staphylococcaceae.
UUUUAUGGAGAGUUUGAUCCUGGCUCAGGAUGAACGCUGGCGGCGUGCCUAAUACAUGCAAGUCGAGCGAACGGAUGAGAAGCUUGCUUCUCUGAUGUUAGCGGCGGACGGGUGAGUAACACGUGGAUAACCUACCUAUAAGACUGGGAUAACUUCGGGAAACCGGAGCUAAUACCGGAUAAUAUUUUGAACCGCAUGGUUCAAAAGUGAAAGACGGUCUUGCUGUCACUUAUAGAUGGAUCCGCGCUGCAUUAGCUAGUUGGUAAGGUAACGGCUUACCAAGGCAACGAUGCAUAGCCGA